CGACUUUUAUCAAAAGUUGUGACUUUUAUGAAAAAUUGUGACUUUUAUGAAAGGUGGUGACCUUUCCGAAAGAUUGUGACUUUUCAAAGGUUUGUGACCUUUCCGGUAAGGCACAAUAAGAACCUUUUCACACUACCCUCUGUUUUCUAUAAAUUGAGGGAUUUCCUCUCAUUUUAAAAGAACCAAUUUCUGGACUUCUUCUUCUACUACUAAAUCUAGUAUUCUAAGUGUACUUUACUGCCGUUGAGUGGCUCGCUGACACCAGCGUUUUGGGUAUCAAUACACUGGUGAUUGAGAUCAUUCUAUCCUGG
This 311-nucleotide long non-coding RNA is filed under the name Solanum tuberosum (potato). Its description in RNAcentral is "long non-coding RNA (STUB_LNC004023)". The record is from RNAcentral. Lineage: Eukaryota; Viridiplantae; Streptophyta; Magnoliopsida; Solanales; Solanaceae.